CCUACGGGGGGCAGCAGUGGGGAAUAUUGGACAAUGGGGGCAACCCUGAUCCAGCCAUGCCGCGUGUGUGAAGAAGGCCCUCGGGUUGUAAAGCACUUUCAGUGAGGAAGAACGCCUGGUGGUUAAUACCCAUCAGGAAAGACAUCACUCACAGAAGAAGCACCGGCUAACUCCGUGCCAACAGCCGCGGUAAUACGGAGGGUGCGAGCGUUAAUCGGAAUUACUGGGCGUAAAGCGCGCGUAGGUGGCUUGAUAAGCCGGUUGUGAAAGCCCCGGGCUCAACCUGGGAACGGCAUCCGGAACUGUCAAGCUAGAGUGCAGGAGAGGAAGGUAGAAUUCCCGGUGUAGCGGUGAAAUGCGUAGAGAUCGGGAGGAAUACCAGUGGCGAAGGCGGCCUUCUGGACUGACACUGCCACUGAGGUGCGAAAGCGUGGGUAGCAAACAGGAUUAGAUACCCUGGUAGUC
This 465-nucleotide ribosomal RNA is filed under the name Vreelandella stevensii. RNAcentral's name for it is "partial 16S ribosomal RNA". It matches the Rfam family "Bacterial small subunit ribosomal RNA", at positions 338 to 795 of the family's 1533-position model. Lineage: Bacteria; Pseudomonadati; Pseudomonadota; Gammaproteobacteria; Oceanospirillales; Halomonadaceae. The record is from RNAcentral.